Molecule: ribosomal RNA, 406 nt
Filed under: uncultured bacterium
Lineage: Bacteria
Description: partial 16S ribosomal RNA
Rfam family: Bacterial small subunit ribosomal RNA
Source: RNAcentral
AUUGAACGCUGGCGGCAGGCUUAACACAUGCAAGUCGAGCGAGCCGCGGACGGGUGUGUCAUGUCUGGGAAACUGCCUGAUGGAGGCGGAUAACUACUGGUAACGGUCGCUAAUACCGCAUACCAUCUCCUUUUCCCAUAUGUGAUUAGCUAGUGGGUUGGGUAAUGGCUAACCUCGGCGACGAUCCCUAGCUGGUCUGAGAGGAUGACCAGCCACUCUGGAACUGAGACCCGGUCCAGACUCCUACGUGAGGCAGCAGUGGGGAAUAUUGCACAAUGGGCGCAAGCCUGAUGCAGCCAUGCCGCGUGUGUGAAGAAGGCCUUCGGGUUGUAAAGCACUUUCAGCGAGGAGGCGUUACUCGAAGAAGAAGCACCGGCUAACUCCGUGCCAGCAGCCGCGGUAAUUG